This 72-nucleotide transfer RNA is filed under the name Fukomys damarensis (Damara mole-rat). It matches the Rfam family "tRNA". From Rfam's summary of the family: Transfer RNA (tRNA) molecules are approximately 80 nucleotides in length. Lineage: Eukaryota; Metazoa; Chordata; Mammalia; Rodentia; Bathyergidae. The record is from Rfam by way of RNAcentral.
GGGGGUGAAGCUCAGCAGUAGAGUACUUGUGUGGCAUGCACAAGGCUCUGGGUUUGAUCCCCAGUACCACCA